UGAGGAAUAUUGGUCAAUGGGCGCAAGCCUGAACCAGCCAUCCCGCGUGCAGGAAGACGGCCCUAUGGGUUGUAAACUGCUUUUCCAGGGGGAGAAACUUGCGCACGUGUUGCGCAAUUGACGGUACCCUGGGAAUAAGCAUCGGCUAACUCCGUGCCAGCAGCCGCGGUAAUACGGAGGAUGCGAGCGUUAUCCGGAUUCAUUGGGUUUAAAGGGUGCGUAGGCGGACUAUUAAGUCAGUGGUGAAAUCCUGCAGCUUAACUGCAGAACUGCCAUUGAUACUGAUAGCCUUGAGUUUGGUAAGGUAGGCGGAAUGUGUAAUGUAGCGGUGAAAUGCUUAGAUAUUACACAGAACACCAAUUGCGUAGGCAGCUUACUGAGCCGACACUGACGCUGAGGC
Molecule: ribosomal RNA, 400 nt
Filed under: uncultured bacterium
Lineage: Bacteria
Description: bacterial SSU rRNA
Rfam family: Bacterial small subunit ribosomal RNA
Source: RNAcentral